Small RNA from Eubacterium sp. CAG:156, 89 nucleotides. It matches the Rfam family "GA-cis RNA". NCBI's taxonomy places the organism in Bacteria, Bacillati, Bacillota, Clostridia, Eubacteriales, Eubacteriaceae. The record is from Rfam.
UAGAAGAGAAAACAAAAUGAAUGAAUUUCAUUUUUCUAUAAAUGUUUUCGACGAGUAGCCGCCGACCAAAGGGAGGGGCAAUACAGAUU